CAUCCCCGUCUUAGCAUCUUCACCUGAGGCAGCUGCUUCAUUUCACACUGCAAGGAGAGAGAGAGACCUGAGCCUGAGAUGGCUGCAGUGUGUCAGGAUUAAGAAGCUCGAGCAGGGCUUGCACAAUGUUGCCUGUGCUUGCCAGCGGCCAGGACUACCAGCGCCUUGGCUCUCCUGCGUGUGUACGCGGGGAUAUGACGCUUCGCUUCUGUGUGAGGGGCAGAGAAGGGAUGCAGGUGCCUAUUUUGGAUGGGCUGGACUGUUGCCAAAGAAUGCAAAGCUGAUAAAAUACUGUAGUGCUGGAAAU
Long non-coding RNA from Corapipo altera (White-ruffed manakin), 307 nucleotides. RefSeq lists it as uncharacterized. The transcript is spliced from 3 exons. The record is from RefSeq and is a predicted model, not a curated record. Lineage: Eukaryota; Metazoa; Chordata; Aves; Passeriformes; Pipridae.